RNAcentral lists this ribosomal RNA (481 nucleotides) under uncultured bacterium. RNAcentral describes it as "bacterial SSU rRNA". It matches the Rfam family "Bacterial small subunit ribosomal RNA", at positions 28 to 526 of the family's 1533-position model. The record is from RNAcentral.
GACGAACGCUGGCGGCGUGCUUAACACAUGCAAGUCGAGCGAUGAAGCUCCUUCGGGAGUGGAUUAGCGGCGGACGGGUGAGUAACACGUGGGCAACCUGCCUUGUAGAGAGGAAUAGCCAUUCGAAAGGAUGAUUAAUACCUCAUAUUAUUGCAGCUUCGCAUGAAGCAGUAAUGAAAGGAGCAAUCCACUACAAGAUGGGCCCGCGGCGCAUUAGCUAGUUGGUGAGGUAACGGCUCACCAAGGCGACGAUGCGUAGCCGACCUGAGAGGGUGAUCGGCCACAUUGGGACUGAGACACGGCCCAGACUCCUACGGGAGGCAGCAGUGGGGAAUAUUGCACAAUGGGGGAAACCCUGAUGCAGCAACGCCGCGUGAGUGAUGACGGUCUUCGGAUUGUAAAGCUCUGUCUUCAGGGACGAUAAUGACGGUACCUGAGGAGGAAGCCACGGCUAACUACGUGCCAGCCGCCGCCGUAACAC